This 469-nucleotide ribosomal RNA is filed under the name Streptococcus macedonicus. Its description in RNAcentral is "bacterial SSU rRNA". It matches the Rfam family "Bacterial small subunit ribosomal RNA", at positions 66 to 519 of the family's 1533-position model. The record is from RNAcentral. Lineage: Bacteria; Bacillati; Bacillota; Bacilli; Lactobacillales; Streptococcaceae.
GCUGAAGACUUUAGCUUGCUAGAGUUGGAAGAGUUGCGAACGGGUGAGUAACGCGUAGGUAACCUGCCUAUUAGUGGGGGAUAACUAUUGGAAACGAUAGCUAAUACCGCAUAAUAGUGUUUAACACAUGUUAGAGACUUAAAAGAUGCAAUUGCAUCACUAGUAGAUGGACCUGCGUUGUAUUAGCUAGUUGGUGGGGUAACGGCCUACCAAGGCGACGAUACAUAGCCGACCUGAGAGGGUGAUCGGCCACACUGGGACUGAGACACGGCCCAGACUCCUACGGGAGGCAGCAGUAGGGAAUCUUCGGCAAUGGGGGCAACCCUGACCGAGCAACGCCGCGUGAGUGAAGAAGGUUUUCGGAUCGUAAAGCUCUGUUGUAAGAGAAGAACGUGUGUGAGAGUGGAAAGUUCACACAGUGACGGUAACUUACCAGAAAGGGACGGCUAACUACGUGCCAGCAGCCGCG